RNAcentral lists this unclassified non-coding RNA (313 nucleotides) under Agaricales sp. Its description in RNAcentral is "partial contains 5.8S ribosomal RNA, internal transcribed spacer 2, and large subunit ribosomal RNA". Lineage: Eukaryota; Fungi; Basidiomycota; Agaricomycetes; Agaricales. The record is from RNAcentral.
CGCACCUUGCGCUCUUUGGUAUUCCAUAGAGCAUGCCUGUUUGAGUGUCAUUAAAAUCUCAACUCUUCCGAUGGUUUUUCUACAAAACUGUUGGUUAAGAGCUUUGGAUAUGAGGGUUAUUGCCGGCUUCAUAGUCUAAGUGCGGCUCCCUUGAAACAUAUUAGUGCGCAGCUCUGCUAGUUGGCUUCAGGUGUGAUAGUCUAUCUACGCCUUGGUUGACGUGCAUGAUUAAGUGCUUCUAACAGUCUCUUGACCGAGACAAUAAUUUUUGAUACUUGACCUCAAAUCAGGUAGGACUACCCGCUGAACUUAA